UGGGGAAUAUUGGACAAUGGGGGCAACCCUGAUCCAGCCAUGCCGCGUGAGUGAUGAAGGCCUUCGGGUUGUAAAGCUCUUUUGGCGGGGACGAUGAUGACGGUACCCGCAGAAUAAGCCCCGGCUAACUUCGUGCCAGCAGCCGCGGUAAGACGAAGGGGGCUAGCGUUGUUCGGAAUUACUGGGCGUAAAGCGAGUGUAGGCGGUUGCCGUAGUCAGGUGUGAAAGCCUUGAGCUCAACUCAAGAAAUGCACUUGAUACUGGGUGACUAGAGGACCGGAGAGGAUAGUGGAAUUCCCAGUGUAGUGGUGAAAUACGUAGAGAUUGGGAAGAACACCAGUGGCGAAGGCGGCUAUCUGGACGGUUACUGACGCUAAGACUCGAAAGCGUGGGGAGCAAACAGGAUUAGAUACCCUGGUAGUCCACGCCGUAAACGAUGGGUGCUAGACGUUGGCGAGCUUGCUCGUCAGUGUCGCAGCUAACGCGUUAAGCACCCCGCCUGGGGAGUACGGCCGCAAGGGUUGAAACUCAAAAGGAAUUGACGGGGGUCAUAGCUGUUUCCU
RNAcentral lists this ribosomal RNA (563 nucleotides) under uncultured bacterium. Its description in RNAcentral is "partial 16S ribosomal RNA". It matches the Rfam family "Bacterial small subunit ribosomal RNA", at positions 355 to 938 of the family's 1533-position model. The record is from RNAcentral.